GCCGAGGUGGCGGAAUUGGUAGACGCGCUAGCUUCAGGUGCUAGUGGGGGCAACCCCGUGGAGGUUCAAGUCCUCUCCCUCGGUACCA
This 88-nucleotide transfer RNA is filed under the name Gammaproteobacteria bacterium. RNAcentral's name for it is "tRNA-Leu". It matches the Rfam family "tRNA". Rfam says of the family: Transfer RNA (tRNA) molecules are approximately 80 nucleotides in length. Their secondary structure includes four short double-helical elements and three loops (D, anti-codon, and T loops). The record is from RNAcentral. Lineage: Bacteria; Pseudomonadati; Pseudomonadota; Gammaproteobacteria.